GAUGAACGCUGGCGGCGUGCCUAAUACAUGCAAGUAGAACGCUGAAGGAGGAGCUUGCUCUUCUGGAUGAGUUGCGAACGGGUGAGUAACGCGUAGGUAACCUGCCUGGUAGCGGGGGAUAACUAUUGGAAACGAUAGCUAAUACCGCAUGACAACAGUUAUUGCAUGAUAACUGUUUAAAAGGGGCAACUGCUCCACUACCAGAUGGACCUGCGUUGUAUUAGCUAGUUGGUGAGGUAACGGCUCACCAAGGCGACGAUACAUAGCCGACCUGAGAGGGUGAUCGGCCACACUGGGACUGAGACACGGCCCAGACUCCUACGGGAGGCAGCAGUAGGGAAUCUUCGGCAAUGGACGGAAGUCUGACCGAGCAACGCCGCGUGAGUGAAGAAGGGUGUCGGAUCGUAAAGCUCUGUUGUAAGAGAAGAACGAGUGUGAGGGUGGAAAGUUCACACUGUGACGGUAUCUUACCAGAAAGGGACGGCUAACUACGUG
This 495-nucleotide ribosomal RNA is filed under the name uncultured bacterium. Its description in RNAcentral is "partial 16S ribosomal RNA". It matches the Rfam family "Bacterial small subunit ribosomal RNA", at positions 28 to 507 of the family's 1533-position model. The record is from RNAcentral.